RNAcentral lists this ribosomal RNA (777 nucleotides) under uncultured Neocallimastigales. RNAcentral describes it as "partial large subunit ribosomal RNA". It matches the Rfam family "Eukaryotic large subunit ribosomal RNA", at positions 24 to 645 of the family's 3401-position model. The record is from RNAcentral. Lineage: Eukaryota; Fungi; Neocallimastigomycota; Neocallimastigomycetes; Neocallimastigales.
UAUCUCUGUAGAGUCUGCAUAUCAAUAAGCGGAGGAAAAGAAACUAACUAGGAUUCCCUCAGUAACGGCGAGUGAAGCGGGAAGAGCUCAAAUUUGAAAUCUUCAAGGUUCUACCUUGACGAAUUGUAGUUUAAAGAAGUGUUUUCUGUUGGAGUUUUGGUAAAAGUUCUUUGGAAUAGGACAUCAUAGAGGGUGAGAAUCCCGUAUCUGACCGUUACUUUUCAGCUGUGUGAUACACUUUCAAAGAGUCGGAUUGUUUGGGAACGCAGUCCAAAAUGGGUGGUAAAUUUCAUCUAAAGCUAAAUAUUGGCGAGAGACCGAUAGCGAACAAGUACCGUGAGGGAAAGAUGAAAAGAACUUUGAAAAGAGAGUUAAACAGUACGUGAAAUUGUCAAAAGGGAAGCGUUUGACACCAGUGUUGUUUUCUCGAAAAUCAAUUAAAAAAUGCUUGAUUUUGUGUUGUAUUGACCUUAAAAGCUUUCUUCACUUUUUUCAUGUCUUUUUUAACUGCACUUUUCGUUUAACAAGUCAACAUCAGUUUCUUUUGUUGUAAAAAGGUCAUUGGAAGGUGGCUUUCUUUUCGGAGAAAGUGUUUAUAGCCUUUGACUCCUGCAAUCGGAGAGACUGAGGUCUGCAGCGUAGAUCCUUCUUGGAUUAGAUUCAUUUGUGCUAAGUUAUAGCUUUUCAUAGACAACUUGUUGACUAUAUUUAGUCUUGUAGGCUUACUCGCUUAUGUAUUUUACCUACGCUUAGGAUGUUGAUCUCUCACAGUCGAGC